Molecule: unclassified non-coding RNA, 336 nt
Filed under: soil metagenome
Description: partial contains 5.8S ribosomal RNA, internal transcribed spacer 2, and large subunit ribosomal RNA
Rfam family: 5.8S ribosomal RNA (bases 1-120)
Source: RNAcentral
GACGAAGAACGCAGCGAAAUGCGAUAAGUAAUGUGAAUUGCAGAAUUCAGUGAAUCAUCGAAUCUUUGAACGCACAUUGCGCCCGCCAGUAUUCUGGCGGGCAUGCCUGUUCGAGCGUCAUUUCAACCAUCAAGCCCCAGGCUUGUGUUGGGGACCUGCGGCUGCCGCAGGCCCUGAAAACCAGUGGCGGGCUCGCUGUCACACCGGGCGUAGUAGAUUUUAUCUCGCUCAGGGCGUGCUGCGGGUUCCGGCCGUUAAAAAGCCUUUUUUACCCAAGGUUGACCUCGGAUCAGGUAGGAAGACCCGCUGAACUUAAGCAUAUCAAUAAGCGGAGGA